This 348-nucleotide unclassified non-coding RNA is filed under the name soil metagenome. Its description in RNAcentral is "partial contains 5.8S ribosomal RNA, internal transcribed spacer 2, and large subunit ribosomal RNA". The stretch from base 1 to 120 matches the Rfam family "5.8S ribosomal RNA", at positions 35 to 154 of the family's 154-position model. The record is from RNAcentral.
GAUGAAGAACGUAGCGAAAUGCGAUAAGUAAUGUGAAUUGCAGAAUUCAGUGAAUCAUCGAAUCUUUGAACGCACAUUGCGCCCCUUGGUAUUCCGGGGGGCAUGCCUGUUCGAGCGUCAUUACAACAAUCAAGCGCUGCUUGGCGAUGGGCGUCUCGCCCCCCUCUCGAGGGGUUGGCGUGCCCGAAAGAUAUUGGCUGGUGCUACCUGACGAGCAACGGAUUGACUUACAAAAUCGUUGAACUCCGGGGAGGUGCGCCUAAGCUAGACAAGCUCAAUUUCUAUCAAGUUUGACCUCGGAUCAGGUAGGGAUACCCGCUGAACUUAAGCAUAUCAAUAAGCGGAGGA